RNAcentral lists this transfer RNA (87 nucleotides) under Halioglobus maricola. RNAcentral's name for it is "tRNA-Leu". It matches the Rfam family "tRNA". From Rfam's summary of the family: Transfer RNA (tRNA) molecules are approximately 80 nucleotides in length. Their secondary structure includes four short double-helical elements and three loops (D, anti-codon, and T loops). Further hydrogen bonds mediate the characteristic L-shaped molecular structure. tRNAs have two regions of fundamental functional importance: the anti-codon, which is responsible for specific mRNA codon recognition, and the 3' end, to which the tRNAs corresponding amino acid is attached (by aminoacyl-tRNA synthetases). tRNAs cope with the degeneracy of the genetic code in two manners: having more than one tRNA (with a specific anti-codon) for a particular amino acid; and 'wobble' base-pairing, i.e. permitting non-standard base-pairing at the 3rd anti-codon position. The record is from RNAcentral. Lineage: Bacteria; Pseudomonadati; Pseudomonadota; Gammaproteobacteria; Cellvibrionales; Halieaceae.
GCCCGGAUGGUGAAAUUGGUAGACACAGGAGACUUAAAAUCUCCCGACCUUACGGUUGUGCGGGUUCAAGUCCCGCUCCGGGCACCA